CGGUUGUUUCAAAGAUUUUGCUUUAAUUUUUUUUUUUAAAAAAAAAUUUCCAUCAAAAUUGAACUAUAUUAAUAAAUUGAUUUCGUUUUUACACUUUAAAUUUAAUUAAAUUGAAUUCAUUAAUAAAAUAAAAUAAAAUAAAAUAAAAUUCUAGUGAGUGUUGACACCUAUACAUCAUACGCGUGGACGAAGUUAAUAAGAAUAGAGUAUUUCAUCAAUAUAAUAUUAGAACAAUGGCCUUUCAAAGAAAAUGUACAAACUCCGCCACUGAAAGUAAUGAAUUAAUGGCGUAAAAUUAAAAUUUGAUAGGAAAUCUUAAUAACUAAAUCAACCAGAAUCUUGCCUUUUUAUUGGAAAAAGGGGUGGACUUUAAUUUUUUUUACAGGAAAUAUGAAAAGAAAAACAACAAAAAAACAAAAGGAUUGGUAUGCUCAUAAAAAACAGAAUUGACAGCUAUUCUAAAUAGUUAUAGAUAUAACAAAACACAUAUAUUUAUCCCUUACAUGUAAUUUUAAUUAUUAAGUAAACAACGUUUACAUAUUAAUUUAUUCUGGCACUCUUGUGGUCAAAAGUAUAAUAAUUUCUAUAAGCGCAUAGAAGAAAACCAUCUAAAUGCAACAAAUCCGAGCCUUUGAGGGGGCUAAAAGUCACUAAAUUCCAGCCAUUUAUCAAUCAUGUUGGAAUCCAUUAACAGGAAAGAUCUCAAACGCAAGGGAGAAUGAAUCCAAACAUUGAUCGCAUGAGGACACUUGAAGAAAUAUGAUCAAUGGAUUCUCUCUCACCACAAAAACUGCAUUCAGGAGAUACAUCAGGGAGGCGCUCCUGGAGGAGGUAUUUGCAUGGCAACCGUUUCAUAAUUCAACAUAUACAUCUCAUAAGAAAUGACAGAUGAUUGAGUUUCAGGAGCUAUAGGUGCUGGCCCUGGUCACCGGCAAUCAUGGCGUCAUCGGAAUCCAUGGCGUAUCAACAAUUUCCUUUGUUCGUUUAGUAGUAAGAUUUGCUUGCGAUUUAAUUUGAAUUAAUAUUUAAGAUAAAGAACAAAAUCAAAGCUGUGCAAUUGAAAUGACAGAGGGAAAUAGAUGAAUAAUCAUUUAUUGAGAAUACAAAUACAACACAACACAUAUAUAAUAUCAAUUACUAAUUCAGAUGUGCAUCAGAUCAGAGCACGAGCAUGCAACUAAAACUAAUUCUGAAGGAUGGGCGCGGGUGCAGGCGCAGUGACGGUCUGAUCACUUGGAUUCUUCUGCGCUUGGCGUUCGCGAGGACAAUUCCACUUUCUAUGGUUCCCUUGGUCAUGGGAAUGUUGUAUUCCUCGUGUUAUAAACCCCCCGAACAUGGUCCCGAAAACAAACGCAACAACUGGCUUCAUGCUGCUGCUCAUUGAUUUGGUUUAAUAACCCCAAUAAUCAAGCUAAAGUGUCAAGUAAAUAUGGGUUUGCUUUGCAUAUCUGGGAGGUCAAUCGGAGGGGAUUUAUAGGAUCCACAUUCUUAAUUUCCAGGGACGUGAUGCCCAAGCCUUACUGUCGCAGCAGCUGCUGUCGCGUGUCCUGCACUCCACUUCGUGGGUCAAAUUGAUUUUCUUGUAGACAACUUGGAUUUGAAAAUUAUUACACUAAAUUAAUCAACGACAGCGAUAUGUAUUCUUAUUAUUAUUUUUUUUUAAUGAAGAAUUGAACAAAAGAGACCAGUAAGCCUUGUUUCCUUCCAUGAUUCAGUCAUGACAUACAAAUCC
This 1732-nucleotide long non-coding RNA is filed under the name Manihot esculenta (cassava). RNAcentral's name for it is "long non-coding RNA (MESC_LNC000695)". Lineage: Eukaryota; Viridiplantae; Streptophyta; Magnoliopsida; Malpighiales; Euphorbiaceae. The record is from RNAcentral.